This 624-nucleotide ribosomal RNA is filed under the name uncultured bacterium. Its description in RNAcentral is "bacterial SSU rRNA". It matches the Rfam family "Bacterial small subunit ribosomal RNA", at positions 826 to 1450 of the family's 1533-position model. The record is from RNAcentral.
GGACUCUUGAAGUCUUAGUGGCGCAGCUAACGCACUAAGUUGACCGCCUGGGGAGUACGGCCGCAAGGUUAAAACUCAAAUGAAUUGACGGGGGCCCGCACAAGCGGUGGAGCAUGUGGUUUAAUUCGACGCAACGCGAAGAACCUUACCUGGCCUUGACAUGCAGAGAACUUUCCAGAGAUGGAUUGGUGCCUUCGGGAACUCUGACACAGGUGCUGCAUGGCCGUCGUCAGCUCGUGUCGUGAGAUGUUGGGUUAAGUCCCGUAACGAGCGCAACCCCUAUCCCUAGUUGCUAGCAGUUCGGCUGAGAACUCUAGGGAGACUGCCGGUGACAAACCGGAGGAAGGUGGGGAUGACGUCAGGUCAUCAUGGCCCUUACGGCCAGGGCUACACACGUGCUACAAUGGUGCGUACAGAGGGCUGCAAACCCGCGAGGGGGAGCUAAUCUCACAAAACGCAUCGUAGUCCGGAUCGGAGUCUGCAACUCGACUCCGUGAAGUCGGAAUCGCUAGUAAUCGCGAAUCAGAAUGUCGCGGUGAAUACGUUCCCGGGCCUUGUACACACCGCCCGUCACACCAUGGGAGUGGAUUGCACCAGAAGUGGUUAGUCUAACCUUCGGGAGGA